This 274-nucleotide ribosomal RNA is filed under the name uncultured bacterium. RNAcentral describes it as "partial 16S ribosomal RNA". It matches the Rfam family "Bacterial small subunit ribosomal RNA", at positions 523 to 796 of the family's 1533-position model. The record is from RNAcentral.
AUACGGAGGGUGCAAGCGUUACUCGGAAUCACUGGGCGUAAAGCGCGCGCAGGCGGGCUGAUAAGUUGGAUGUGAAAGCCUACGGCUCAACCGUAGAACUGCAUCCAAAACUGUCAGUCUAGAGUGUGGGAGAGGAAGAUGGAAUUAGUUGUGUAGGGGUAAAAUCCGUAGAGAUAACUAGGAAUACCAAAAGCGAAGGCAAUCUUCUGGAACACUACUGACGCUGAGGCACGAAGGCGUGGGGGGCAAACAGGAUUAGAAACCCCGGUAGUCC